UACCACAAAAGGAAGGUUGGGAUUGAUUUUGGGGGUUAUGGUACCAUCAGUUAAGGAAUUAGGGGCCAAAAAGGGGCCAAAAAUAAGCAUUUUUGUAACUUCCAGACAUAACUUGUGUGUUAGUGUAUGGAUCUCUCUGACAUUGUACCACAAGGUUCCAUAUCACAAAGGGAAUGCUGGGAUUGAUUUUGGGGGUAAUUGCCUCAUAAUUUUAGGAAUUAAGGGCCAAAAAAGGGGUAACAAACAAGCAUUUUUCUAGUUUCAUGACAAUAACUUGUGUUCAAGUGUAUGGAUCUUUCUGAAAUUGUACUAAAAGGUUCCAUAUCACAAAGGGAAAGCUGGGUUUGAGUUUGGG
This is a long non-coding RNA of Mytilus californianus (California mussel), 355 nucleotides long. RefSeq lists it as uncharacterized. The transcript is spliced from 3 exons. Lineage: Eukaryota; Metazoa; Mollusca; Bivalvia; Mytilida; Mytilidae. The record is from RefSeq and is a predicted model, not a curated record.